Molecule: ribosomal RNA, 468 nt
Filed under: uncultured bacterium
Lineage: Bacteria
Description: partial 16S ribosomal RNA
Rfam family: Bacterial small subunit ribosomal RNA
Source: RNAcentral
GACGAACGCUGGCGGCGUGCUUAACACAUGCAAGUCGAACGGACAGGCGCGGCUCUUGCUGGGUGCACGUGUGGCGAACGGGUGAGUAACACGUGAGUAAACUGCACCUGUCAGUGGGAUAAAUUCAGGAAACUGCGGCUAAUACCGCGUAGGAGCUCCUGCUGCAUGGUGGUGGUUGGAAAAAUUCGGCGGUUGGGGAUCGUCUCGCGGCUUAUCAGCUUGUUGGUGGGGUAGUGGCUUACCAAGGCUUUGACGGGUAGCCGGCCUGGGAGGGUGACCGGCCACAAGGGGACUGAGAUAGGGACCAGACGCCUACGGGAGGCAGCAGGCGGGAAUAUGACGGAAUGAGCCGACGCCAGAUGUAGAGACCCUGCGUUCGUGAUGCCGUCCUUUGGGUUGUAAACCGCUGUCGACUGAGACGAAGAGUGAGUGACGGUAAUUGGUAAAGAAGCACCGGCUAACUACGUG